This 1402-nucleotide long non-coding RNA is filed under the name Salmo salar (Atlantic salmon). RNAcentral's name for it is "lncRNA (ENSSSAG00000119887.1)". Lineage: Eukaryota; Metazoa; Chordata; Actinopteri; Salmoniformes; Salmonidae. The record is from RNAcentral.
GUGGGUCCAGAGAUGGUUAAAGUCCUGAAAGCGCAGGUCUGUGUAGGUCCAGAGAUGGUUAAAGUCCUGAAAGCGCAGGUCUGUGUAGGUCCAGAGAUGAAGCGCAGGUCUGUGUGGGUCCAGAGAUGGUUAAAGUCCCGAAAGCGCAGGUUUGUGUGGGUCGAGAGAUGGUUAAAGUCCCGAAAGCGCAGGUCUGUGUAGGUCCAGAGAUGGUUAAAGUCCUGAAAGCGCAGGUCUGUGUAGGUCCAGAGAUGGGUUAAAGUCCUGAAAGCGCAGGUCUGUGUAGGUCCAGAGAUGAAGCGCAGGUCUGUGUGGGUCCAGAGAUGGUUAAAGUCCCGAAAGCGCAGGUUUGUGUGGGUCGAGAGAUGGUUAAAGUCCCGAAAGCGCAGGUCUGUGUAGGUCCAGAGAUGGUUAAAGUCCCAUAAGCGCAGGUCUGUGUAGGUCCAGAGAUGGGUUAAAGUCCUGAAAGCGCAGGUCUGUGUAGGUCCAGAGAUGGGUUAAAGUCCUGAAAGCGCAGGUCUGUAUAGGUCCAGAGAUGGUUAAAGUCCCGAAAGCAGGCAGGGGAGGUUCAUUCACGUCUCAUUCAAGAGCUUCGACUGUUUGGAAGAGGAAUUCCCAAGUUACGUUCGUCUGGACCGAAGCCAGUUCGAUCACCUGCUCCAGAUGGUUGGAGCCAGGAUCGCCCGGAUGGAUACCAACUACCGGGAGUCCAUCAGCCCAGUCGAACGCCUGGCGGUUUGUCUCCGGUAAAAUACAUUUUUAAAGCCUUUGAUACCAUAAUUUAUAUUUAAUAUAUUGUUGUUUUAAUGUGCAUCCUAGCUAGCUAAAGAGUUCUUUAGUUAAUUGUCCCUAUUUGACAUCAGAUGUACUUUUACAGAAUGUUCAUUAGGACUAUAACUUUUUCCCAAAGUUGGUUUAUAAUCCUUUUUUUAAUUAUGCAAUGUUACCCAAAUGAAAAGAAAGUUGGGGUGCCUUCUGCUCUGAUGAAGGUAGGCUAGUCUUCACCAGGACCCCUUGUUGUUCAACACAGUUACAGGCCUUCUGCCCCUGAUGAAGGUAGGCUAGUCUUCACCAGGACCCCUUGUUGUUGAAGACAGUUACAGGCCUUCUGCCCCUGAUGAAGGUAGGCUAGUCUUCACCAGGACCCCUUGUUGUUCAACACAGUUACAGGCCUUCUGCCCCUGAUGAAGGUAGGCUAGUCUUCACCAGGACCCCUUGUUGUUGAAGACAGUUACAGGCCUUCUGCCCCUGAUGAAGGUAGGCUAGUCUUCACCAGGACCCCUUGUUGUUGAAGACAGUUACAGUCAUUCAUUACGUUCUCAUUGGACUCACAUACACUCUUAAGAGAAAAAGGUUCCGUGUCCUUCUGCUUUCCCCAUAGGAGAACCAUUUUUGGUUCCAG